RNAcentral lists this ribosomal RNA (253 nucleotides) under uncultured bacterium. RNAcentral's name for it is "partial 16S ribosomal RNA". It matches the Rfam family "Bacterial small subunit ribosomal RNA", at positions 524 to 776 of the family's 1533-position model. The record is from RNAcentral.
UACGGAGGAUCCAAGCGUUAUCCAGAUUUAUUGGGUUUAAAGGGUGCGUAGGCGGACCCGUAAGUCAGUGGUGAAAGUUUGCAGCUCAACUGUAAAAUUGCCAUUGAAACUGCGGAUCUUGAGUGUAAAUGAGGUAGGCGGAAUGUGUUGUGUAGCGGUGAAAUGCUUAGAUAUAACACAGAACACCAAUUGCGAAGGCAGCUUACUAGAAUACAACUGACGCUGAGGCACGAAAGCGUGGGGAUCAAACAGG